AAACGAGACAUGUUUCAUCGCAUCCCUGGUUCGCCACGUUUCUAGGCUAUGCACCCAAUCACAUCCCUAAACUCUAUAAUCCCCACCCUCCCUAUUCGUCCACCUUACUCAUUCUUCGAUUGCUUUCCUCCAAAAAAAAAAAAUGAACAUCCUUUUUGCCCUUUUGCUCACUCUCUUUUUCUCUUGCCUUUCUCUUUAUCCUUCUUUUGCUUCUUCCAACAUAUCCCGGCUCUUUGAAACUUGGUGCAUACAACAUGGCAAGACUUAUGCUUCUCAACAGGAUAAGCUCUAUAGACUCAGGGUUUUCCAGGACAACUAUGAGUUUGUUACAACACAUAAUAACCAGGGCAAUUCUUCUUACACCCUUUCUCUUAAUGGCUUUGCUGAUCUCACUCAUCACGAGUUCAAGGCUUCUCGUUUGGGUCUCUCUGCUGCUUCAGCCUCUGUGAAUCUUGACCAUGACGGGCCAAAUCUACGAAUGCCUGAUUUUGUUGGCGAUGUUCCUGAUUCAAUUGAUUGGAGAGAGAAAGGGGCUGUGACUCAGGUCAAGGAUCAAGGGGGCUGUGGUGCUUGUUGGUCUUUCUCAGCCACAGGAGCUAUUGAAGGCAUAAAUAAGAUCUUUUCUGGAUCUCUUGUUAGCCUCUCUGAACAAGAGUUAGUUGAUUGCGACAAAUCUUACAAUAAUGGUUGCGAGGGAGGGCUCAUGGACUAUGCAUUCCAAUUUGUCAUAAACAACAAUGGGAUUGACACAGAGGAAGAUUAUGCAUACCUAGGACGCGAAAGGUCCUGCAAUAAAGAAAAGUUAAGAAGGCGUGUUGUGACCAUUGAUGGAUACACUGAUGUGCCCCAAAACAAUGAGAAAGCACUAUUAGAGGCUGUUGCAAAUCAACCUGUGAGUGUGGGAAUAUGUGGCAGUGAAAGAGCAUUUCAAUUGUACUCAAAGGGGAUUUUCACUGGCCCAUGUUCAACUUCUUUGGAUCAUGCUGUAUUGAUUGUAGGAUAUGGGUCAGAAAAUGGAGAAGAUUAUUGGAUUGUGAAAAACUCAUGGGGAAAAAACUGGGGAAUGAGUGGUUAUAUGCACAUGCUGCGAAACAGCGGAAAUUCUCAAGGUGUCUGUGGCAUCAACAUGCUGGCUUCAUAUCCAAAGAAGACCAGCCCAAAUCCACCUCCUCCAUCUCCACCAGGACCUACUAGAUGUGAUCUCUUUACUCGCUGUGGAGAAGGGGAAACUUGCUGCUGUACUCACCACAUUUUUGGAAUAUGCUUUACAUGGAAAUGUUGCGAACUUGAUUCUGCUGUUUGUUGCAAGGAUGGACGUCAUUGUUGCCCCCAUGAUUAUCCGGUUUGUGACACAACGAGGGACAUAUGCCUUAAGCAUCACAGUAAUGGCACGAGAAUGGAAAUAGUUGCAAAGAAAAGCUCCUCUGGGAAGUUUGGCAGUUGGAGUUCCCUUCUUGAAGGUUGGAUUCUGUAAAGCCAGCUUCAUUUGUACUACUGUAUUUUUUUUUAUGUCAAGCUCCCUUAGAAUUCACAUGUUUCACCACUGAAGAAAAGACUAUUGGUAUAACUAUAAACUAAAUGGAGGGUUGGUUAGUAAAGAUUUCAUUGCAUUGUUGGAUGAAUUUAACAGGGGAAUCGGGGAACUGGGAGGCUUGUACUGUCCUGAUUCUGAAGUCCAUCAAGUAUUGAAAUCAGAAAAUUGAUUCGGGACUUUCAUUAGGCUAGAUAUAAGAUUGGUGUGAGCAUCUCUUUCAUUUGUAUGUGAAAUAUGCUUCUCACAAGCUGCAUAACAGCAAUUUUGUUUCUUUGUAUGAUAAGUUCCUGAAUAUUAGAUAUAAAGGCUUGUAGUAUGCUAGUUUUCAUAUGUAAAUGAGUAGAUAAAACGCAAACAUCCUGUUAAACUUGAAACUGGAUGUUUGUGGAAGCAUAAAAACAGUAAUAAUUAUGAUAGCAGCGGAGCUCUUAUAAUGAUGAUAACAAUUUGUAUUAAUAAAUCACACUGUA
Molecule: unclassified non-coding RNA, 2004 nt
Filed under: Hevea brasiliensis (rubber tree)
Lineage: Eukaryota; Viridiplantae; Streptophyta; Magnoliopsida; Malpighiales; Euphorbiaceae
Source: RNAcentral